This 2640-nucleotide long non-coding RNA is filed under the name Ficedula albicollis (Collared flycatcher). Its description in RNAcentral is "lncRNA (ENSFALG00000027747.1)". The record is from RNAcentral. Lineage: Eukaryota; Metazoa; Chordata; Aves; Passeriformes; Muscicapidae.
AUGGAAGUUCUGGAGGGCCGCCAGCGUACUGCUUCCGUGAGCAUUCCCAAUGGAUUUGCCAACAGGAUUUUCCAAGGGAGCAUGGAGGGAGGGAGCACUGAUGCCUUGGAGGCCUGUGGUGCUGAGCACUGCGCCUCCGGUGAUGCAAACCCCGGUGAGCAGGAGGAAACACACAGGUAUAAGAAAACAACCAAGGGCAGCCGGAUCUGGAAUUUCGUCAGACGAAGGAAAGGACUCUCUACGAAUAAAGACAGACCCCAGUCCAUGAUUCUGCUGGGAGUUGCCUCUGAGGUCUCAGAAUUAAAAAAGCCAUCCUUCAUGGACAGGGUACGCUCGUCAAAAAAGGGAAGAUCCUCCAGGACGCCCAAGAACGUGGAUUUGAGAGCACCCAGAGGGCAGGAUGUGUGUGACCCUGAGGAGGAGCUUCACUGCAGUGGGCAGAGAGCUGUCUACAGGGUGAAGAAGCUGGGGGACGGCCGGAGACCCUCCCGCCACUCCUACGCCGGCUACAUCGAGGACUUGGACUCUUCUUUUGAGGACAUAGAGCUGAACAUCAGCAUUCCUGAACUCGAUGCCACUGAAAGUAAAUGUCUCAGGGAUAUCAGUGGCAGAUUACACGGUGAGGAUAAUGAUGGACCAGCCAGGAAGAGCGAGUCUUUGAAUUUUGAGCACGUUAAGAGUCCUGCAAUUACAGAAGGGGACAAUCAAAAGAGGUGUGCUGUGCUCCCACAGGAGAGCAGGAGAGGAAGGAGCUCUGAUGUCUGGAGCUAUCUGAAAGGAAUUUCAUUAGCUAGCAAAGAUAAUUCAAAGCUCCCAGAUCAAAGGGCUGAAACCAAUUUCCAGAGUGUAGAAAAUACAACGGAUCAUUCCGCUUCUUACUUGGACUUUGAUACGAGAUGUGAGGAGAAUCUCAGCCAGCGAAAAAAACCAAACGGUGCCGCCAAAGCCACUCACUUUGGGGGCGUAGUGAGGUUCCUGAGCAGCGUGGCCGAGGCGGCUCGGCGGCUGCGGGGCUCCUCGAGGGCGUUCUCCCCCGACGAGAAGAGGCCUCAGCGCAGUUUCCGGGGCCGCAGGCAGGAUGUUGCCUCCCCCAAGGAGGGUUUGGUCAUCGAGAACGAGAGCGCCAAGGCCUUUUGCACGGUGGGAGCCUGUCUGCAGUCCCCGGAUUCCGGCACCUGGGAGAACCUGAGCUUUGAGAGUUUAGCGGGGAAGGAGAACUGCAGAACCGCGGAUGGGCUGAAAGGCCUUGGUUCCUCUGGUCUGGACAGUGGGAAUGACAGGCUGAAUGCAACCCCGUGUGCUCCCUCUGGGCCAGAACCACUCGUGUCCCAGCUGGCAGAGCUGGCAGAUGGAUCUUUCAUUGAGCUGAACAGCAAGGAUCCCUCUGAGGAUCUGCUUGAACUUCCACAGGCGACUCUGGCUGAACCAAUUCAGGACUUGGGCACGACUCCAGAGAAGACCCAGGUCAUGGCCGGGGACCUGCUGCCUUCCCAUGAUCUUCCUGUGAAUAGCUGGGAUUCUGGGGGCCUGGGCUGUUCUCCAGCUGUCAGUGGGGACUUUUCUGCAGAAACUGAAGUGCAGACCCACCUCCCACUGGCAUCGCCAGCUAAACUUGAUUCUGGGGACGUGGCUUGUGCCCCAGUGGUUGCUAAAGACAUGGAUCCAUCUCCAGCAGUUGCUCAGGAGCUUUCAGAGACAGAACUGGAUAAUCAGGACUUGAGAAAUCCUGAGCUGCCUUUGCAAAACUUGUCUGGAGGUGAGCUGGAGUUUCAAGACACUGGCAGUGCCCUGGAGAGGGUCGUGGGCAGGGACCUGCCACCUUCCCUUGAUCUUCCCGUCAAUGAUCUGGAUGCUGCAGAUCUGGGCUGUUCUCCAGCUGCUGAUGGUGCCUUUCCUGCAGCCACUGAGGCUCAGACCCACCUCCCACAGACAUCACCGACUGAACUUGAUACCGAGGACGUGGCUUGUGCCCCAGUGGUUGCUAAAGACAUGGAUCCAUCUCCAGCUGUGGCUCAGGAAAUUUCAAGGACAGAACUGGAUAAUCAGGGCUUGAGAAAUCCUGAGCUGCCUUUGCAAGACUUGUCGGGAGGUGAGCUGGGGAUUCAGGACUCAGGCAGUUCUCCAGAGACAUCACAGGUUGUGGGCAGGGAUGUGCCACCUUCUCCUCAUCUUCCUGGGAAUGAGCUGGGUGCUGUGGACUUGGACCAUUCCCCAGCUGCCAAUGGUGACUUCUCUGCAGCACCUGAGGCUCUGAUCCACCUUCCCCAGGCAGCUCUGAGUGAGGAGGUCCAGGACACUGUCAGUGGUCUGGAGAAGAGUCAGGUCAUGGGCAGGGCCCUGCCACCUUCUCCUGACAUUCCCGAGAACAUUCUGGAUGCUGCGGACAUGGGAUGUUCCGCAGUUGCCGACGUGGACUUUUCCAUAGUGACUUUUUUAAAGUGUUCCACAGUGAAAAGGCAGAGUUUGAAAGAGCCUGGUGGCCGCAAUAAAAAGCGGGGAACCGCUUCAUUUGUGGAACAAAACUCUGUGGAGGUCAUGGACAGAGUGGAAGAGUUUGAGUGCAGACCCUUCCAAGUGCACGUCUCAAGGAUCGUCUCUUCCGGACGCCUCAAAAAUGGAAAGGUAGGAGCAACUUUGUAA